GCAAGUCGAGGGGUAACGGGGUGCUUGCACCGCCGACGACCGGCGCACGGGUGCGUAACGCGUAUACAAUCUACCUUUUGCUGAGGGAUAGCCCAGAGAAAUUUGGAUUAACACCUCAUAGUAUAUAGAAUUGACAUCGAUUUUAUAUUAAAGGUUACGGCAAAAGAUGAGUAUGCGUUCUAUUAGCUAGAUGGUGUGGUAACGGCACACCAUGGCAACGAUAGAUAGGGGCCCUGAGAGGGGGAUC
Molecule: ribosomal RNA, 247 nt
Filed under: uncultured bacterium
Lineage: Bacteria
Description: partial 16S ribosomal RNA
Rfam family: Bacterial small subunit ribosomal RNA
Source: RNAcentral